GAUGACCUGCAUCGUGCGCGCGAUACAUAUUUUAAUUCCUUAUCGCAUGCAUGAAGUUGUGCGUGAUUAUUCCAAUGGUUGCAUGCUUUUGCUCCCUUUUUCACCAAGUCUCUAUUUCUUCACACUUAGCUAUUUUUUCCUCAUUAUUUGGUCUUUCUUCUUCAUUUUUAUCCUAUUUAACUUGUUUUGAUCUGUUUCUUCAACCAAAAUCACGCAAUAAUGGGAUGUCA
This 230-nucleotide long non-coding RNA is filed under the name Lathyrus oleraceus (garden pea). RNAcentral's name for it is "Pisum sativum (pea) long non-coding RNA (PSAT_LNC028329)". Lineage: Eukaryota; Viridiplantae; Streptophyta; Magnoliopsida; Fabales; Fabaceae. The record is from RNAcentral.